GACGAACGCUGGCGGCGUGCCUAAUACAUGCAAGUAGAACGCACAGUUUAUACCGUAGCUUGCUACACCAUAGACUGUGAGUUGCGAACGGGUGAGUAACGCGUAGGUAACCUGCCUGGUAGCGGGGGAUAACUAUUGGAAACGAUAGCUAAUACCGCAUAAUAUUGAUUAUUGCAUGAUAAUUAAUUGAAAGGUGCAAUUGCACCACUACCAGAUGGACCUGCGUUGUAUUAGCUAGUAGGUGAGGUAACGGCUCACCUAGGCGACGAUACAUAGCCGACCUGAGAGGGUGAUCGGCCACACUGGGACUGAGACACGGCCCAGACUCCUACGGGAGGCAGCAGUAGGGAAUCUUCGGCAAUGGACGAAAGUCUGACCGAGCAACGCCGCGUGAGUGAAGAAGGUUUUCGGAUCGUAAAGCUCUGUUGUAAGAGAAGAACGGGUGUGAGAGUGGAAAGUUCACACUGUGACGGUAGCUUACCAGAAAGAGACGGCUAACUACGUG
RNAcentral lists this ribosomal RNA (505 nucleotides) under uncultured bacterium. Its description in RNAcentral is "partial 16S ribosomal RNA". It matches the Rfam family "Bacterial small subunit ribosomal RNA", at positions 28 to 507 of the family's 1533-position model. The record is from RNAcentral.